This 492-nucleotide ribosomal RNA is filed under the name uncultured bacterium. Its description in RNAcentral is "partial 16S ribosomal RNA". It matches the Rfam family "Bacterial small subunit ribosomal RNA", at positions 29 to 507 of the family's 1533-position model. The record is from RNAcentral.
AGUGAACGCUGGCGGUAGGCCUAACACAUGCAAGUCGAACGGCAGCACAGUAAGAGCUUGCUCUUACGGGUGGCGAGUGGCGGACGGGUGAGGAAUACAUCGGAAUCUACUUUUUCGUGGGGGAUAACGUAGGGAAAAUUACGCUAAUACCGCAUACGACCUACGGGUGAAAGCAGGGGAUCUUCGGACCUUGCGCGAUUGAAUGAGCCGAUGUCGGAUUAGCUAGUUGGCGGGGUAAAAGCCCACCAAGGCGACGAUCCGUAGCUGGUCUGAGAGGAUGAUCAGCCACACUGGAACUGAGACACGGUCCAGACUCCUACGGGAGGCAGCAGUGGGGAAUAUUGGACAAUGGGCGCAAGCCUGAUCCAGCCAUACCGCGUGUGUGAAGAAGGCCUUCGGGUUGUAAAGCCCUUUUGUUGGGAAAGAAAAGCAGCAGGUUAAUACCCCGCUGUUCUGACGUUACCCAAAGAAUAAGCACCGGCUAACUUCGUG